RNAcentral lists this unclassified non-coding RNA (333 nucleotides) under soil metagenome. RNAcentral describes it as "partial contains 5.8S ribosomal RNA, internal transcribed spacer 2, and large subunit ribosomal RNA". The stretch from base 1 to 120 matches the Rfam family "5.8S ribosomal RNA", at positions 35 to 154 of the family's 154-position model. The record is from RNAcentral.
GAUGAAGAACGUAGCAAAAUGCGAUAAGUAAUGUGAAUUGCAGAAUUCAGUGAAUCAUCGAAUCUUUGAACGCACAUUGCGCCCGCCAGUAUUCUGGCGGGCAUGCCUGUUCGAGCGUCAUUUCAACCCUCAAGCUCAACUUGGUGUUGGGACUCGCGGUAACCCGCGUUCCCCAAAUCGAUUGGCGGUCACGUCGAGCUUCCAUAGCGUAGUAAUCAUACACCUCGUUACUGGUAAUCGUCGCGGCCACGCCGUUAAACCCCAACUUCUGAAUGUUGACCUCGGAUCAGGUAGGAAUACCAGCUGAACUUAAGCAUAUCAAUAAGCGGAGGA